Dromaius novaehollandiae (emu) is the source of this 2574-nucleotide long non-coding RNA. RefSeq lists it as uncharacterized. The transcript has 2 exons. The record is from RefSeq and is a predicted model, not a curated record. NCBI's taxonomy places the organism in Eukaryota, Metazoa, Chordata, Aves, Casuariiformes, Dromaiidae.
UUGGGAUAUUUGUGGCAUAUGGAGGGCACACUUGUGGUACUGGGGGAUUUGUGAGGGUUUGUGAUUUUUGGGUAUUCACAUUUGGAAGGUCUUAAACAGCUUGCGGUUUUCAGAGGAGUUCUCCAAGUUUUUCAGACCCCUUAAGAUGGUUUCAAGAUGUCCGAGACUGCUAGUUAUUUUCCAAACAGUCGAACGCCAGCUCCAGCCUAGUUUACAACCAGUUACUGCUGCUGCUUGUGAACGUGCCACAACUUGUGUCCUCUGCCAGCUGACCACAGCUUCUCUCCCACCAGCAACCAGCACUUGCAUCACCAAAUCCUCGCUCACCCUGGCAUCUCCUUUUCGCUGAGUUACGAUCUUCCUCUCUGUUGUCAUCUCCCUGCUCUGCCAUGCUCCUAAAGGACCACUUCAGGGCUGAUUUCUGACUGGCUGCAACCUCUCUUAGGAGAAAAGGACCCGGACGUGGCUGGGCUUCCACGCAAGAAAGCAAAUAACCAUCAGAAGUCCUUCUACUUCUGUGUCUGUGAAGAAGGAGAUGCUGUGUUCCUAAGGCGGUUCAUCCAAGUCCCAGAGGCAGCACAGCAAGGCUGGGGUUUGUAAAAACUUCUGGUUUUGCUAGGGUGUGUUUUGGUGUCUCUGGGUCGCCUGGAAAAUCGAUGGGAGUGCGGAUUCAGAAGACUGAACACUGCUGAGACUUUUACCCGUAAAACCACAUCUUUUAAAAUAGAUAGUGCAUUCCUGUUUAAGGAAAUAUAUGAAUAAAAACCACUGGGUCUUUUAUGAAUCAGCCAUCAGGAAGAAAGCAUUUAAUCUUGUCGAUGUAAGAGAACAGGGAAAUUAGCUAUUAACCAGGCACUCCUCAUCUACUUCAUUUUUUAGGAAAAAUAGUAGCGAGGGGAAAGAGCCAAAUCCGAGACAGGGCUGCUUGGCCUGCAGACCAGGGGCUAAUUCAAACCCACCAGUGCGAUUCCCUGCUCCAUUUUUUAAUAAAAAAAAAAAAAAAGAGGGAGAGUGAGAACAUAAUAGCAGCUGGGCUUCUGCUAAGUCUGACGCCUUUAUCUUCCCAUUCGGAUGUUGUUUGGCCAGACAGUCUGGUAAACAUGUUUGAUGUAAUGCGAGGGGCUAAUUAGCGCUGCCGUCAUCUUUGGACCUGGCUGGUCCAGCCUGGGGCUUUCAGAGGUGACUUGCUCUGACAAGGACAACGGGAUGUCCAACUGACCGGCACCGGCUGAAGAUGUGAUUUUUGGACAGUACCAAGCAGCUGUUCUCUGGAAAUCAAGGUGAUCCUAAGUGUCACCAGCUGGGCACCGGGACACAGGGACAAGACGGUUUCAUUAGUCACUGUUACGCUCUUGGUCCCUGGAUCUCCGAAAGGCCAGGAGAGGUUGCGAAUUUGCUAUUUUUGCUGUGUCGGAGAAGUAGAUGUGACAGUCUCGCUAUCUGAUGGAAAGCUGAGAGCAGAGCUAUCUCCCUGGAGAAAGCAAGGAGAUAGGUUGAUAUCUUUUCCUCUUUAUUUAAGCGAGCUUUUCUGUGAUUAACUGACCUGCUUACUCCUGGUUUCCAAAAAGGCGCUCUCCUACGUGAAGAGGUUCACGCCUUCAUUUUGCCUUUAGCGGGGGUGCUCGCAGGAACGCUCUUUAUUUGCACAAGCAAUACCUUAAUUCGGCUUUGUUAAUGGUGGCUGUAAUUCCAGGUGGAGAAUAGAUUUCCUCCUCCUGGCUGUCCAGCUUCUCCCUCUUCUUCUCCUUCCCCCUUCUCCUCCUCUCCCGUUUCCUUAUGCAGUUUGCCCCGUCCCCUUCUCCUCUCUCGUAUUUUAUACCUGCGCUUUUGCUCUUUGAGAUUUUGGCAGUUCAGAUCCGUCUGUUCCUUACUGAUGAUGGGAAGAUACUGUAUCAUAGCCGGCACAGGCAGGGCCCCCUCGGAGCCGCGGCAGUAAUUAAUGGUAAUCCCUUAAUCUGCGGGUUAUGUCAGAGACCGCAUUGCCUGCUUUUUCCCCUCCUGAGCACAGAGAGGUGUCAGACCCUCAAAAGCAGAACUGCCUGUCUAACAUUACAUGGGGGGGCCACAGGUUGGGGUUUUUUUCUUAUAUAUAAAUAACUAGGUAUUACCAGGCAUCUCUUUUUAUUUUUUUUCUCUUUGCGUGUUUGCUGUCAUAAUCUGGUGCGACCAGCUUUGCCACAAAGAAGGAAAACAAUCUCUUUCAAAAUUUUAAGAGGCAUUAGUGGUGAAGUUUGCAAGGACAUGUGUUCUUCCCUUCUGCCCUUCCCUCUGGCAUCAACAUUUUUAAUCAGAAAGGAGGCUGAACGCCAAAAAAGAACCAUUUUGCUUGGACAACUUAGCAUGUUUCAUCUGGAAUUUUCCUGAACACUUUUAUCCGGUCAAUCAAAACCAUUCAACUCUCAGCCAUCCAGUGUAAAAAUAACCUUUUCUGAAUUUUGGGUCUUUUGACACCAACAAGAGGUGACUGAAGAAAACAUCAAGACGACAAAAUCCCCACAGAAAAUUGCAUUUGGAUGCAAAAGCCUUUUUUUUUUUCUAGAAUGAUAAGUUUGAAUAAAAACAAAGCAUUGAGCA